Molecule: ribosomal RNA, 414 nt
Filed under: [Candida] sp. NCIM 3516
Lineage: Eukaryota; Fungi; Ascomycota; Dipodascomycetes; Dipodascales; Trichomonascaceae
Description: eukaryotic LSU rRNA
Rfam family: Eukaryotic large subunit ribosomal RNA
Source: RNAcentral
UCAUAGAGGGUGAGAACCCCGUUCAUGGCGAGAUGACCCAGUCCUAUGUAAAGUGCUUUCUAAGAGUCGAGUUGUUUGGGAAUGCAGCUCUAAGUGGGUGGUAAAUUCCAUCUAAGGCUAAAUAUUGGCGAGAGACCGAUAGCGAACAAGUACAGUGAUGGAAAGAUGAAAAGAACUUUGAAAAGAGAGUGAAAAAGUACGUGAAAUUGUUGAAAGGGAAGGGCUUGAAGUCAGACAUGGUAUUCAGUGAUCAACUGUCUUUCGGGACUGUGCACUCGCUGUUUACUGGGCCAGCAUCGGUUUAGGCGGUGAGAUAAAUGCAAGAGAAUGUGGCUCCGCUUUCGGGUGGAGUGUUAUAGCUUUUGUUCAUAUCACCAGCUUGGACCGAGGACCGCGCUUCGGCUAGGAUGCUGG